Molecule: ribosomal RNA, 497 nt
Filed under: uncultured bacterium
Lineage: Bacteria
Description: partial 16S ribosomal RNA
Rfam family: Bacterial small subunit ribosomal RNA
Source: RNAcentral
AUUGAACGCUGGCGGCAUGCCUUACACAUGCAAGUCGAACGGUAACAGGUCUUCGGAUGCUGACGAGUGGCGAACGGGUGAGUAAUACAUCGGAACGUGCCUAGUAGUGGGGACAACUACUCGAAAGAGUGGCUAAUACCGCAUGCGAUCUACGGAUGAAAGCAGGGGAUCGCAAGACCUUGUGCUACUAGAGCGGCCGAUGGCAGAUUAGGUAGUUGGUGGGAUAAAAGCUUACCAAGCCGACGAUCUGUAGCUGGUCUGAGAGGACGAUCAGCCACACUGGGACUGAGACACGGCCCAGACUCCUACGGGAGGCAGCAGUGGGGAAUUUUGGACAAUGGGCGCAAGCCUGAUCCAGCAAUGCCGCGUGCAGGAUGAAGGCCUUCGGGUUGUAAACUGCUUUUGUACGGAACGAAAAGCCCCGGGUUAAUACCCUGGGGUCAUGACGGUACCGUAAGAAUAAGCACCGGCUAACUACGUGCCAGCCGCCGCGGUAA